ACCACUUAUCACCUUUUCCGCAAUGCCCAAUCUAGCAAUCAGUGUAGUUUUUCGUGAUAUGAUAAUCUAUGAUAAUCUCUGAGGGUCAGUCAUUUGGGGAAGCAAAAAUAAUAUCUUCUAAUCAAAUCUGAGCAAAUCUAAUCUUGUAAUGAAGCAUAAUUAUUAUUUUUAUCAUUUAAUAUUAUUAGAUCAUAAUAAUAAUAGUAACAUUUGCCAUAAUAAUAAUAAUGUAACACACCUGUAUAUUUAACGUUGUUGCCUUUCGUCUUGUUUCCAUAAUCAAUCUUGAGCUCAUGAAACAAGAACAUCUGAAAACAAUAGAAAUCUGGCAGAAUGAAUAUUAUUAAAUCAACAGCUGCAGUUAAGUACGACGGUAACAUUAAUUUACUCUAGUAAAGUUGAGACAAACCUCAAGUUUAACUAUGAUUGGGUUAUUUGGAGUGACACAGGCAAAACUACUCAAAAUAUGAUAUUCAGACCUCAUGAUCUUAGUGAUAACUUAAUUUGAAAAUAACUUAAAGUUCAUUAACUUCGGCGUUUGGGAAACAUAUUUCAAUCUAUUAUCACGGAGCUUAGCAACGAUGAGUCUGAUAAUUUUUUCUUAGCCCUAAUUCUGCUUCAUAAUGAAACAUGAAAUAUAUAUAUAUAUAUAUGUAUUUAUUUAUUGGUCGGUGGUGUUUAUUAACCCCUUAAAUUAAAUUCAUGAAGUUUAUUUAAAAUAAGAUUUUUACCGAGAUUUUUCUUCUCCAAAGUGUUUUGGCGGGAUAUCUAGAAGGCACAGACCAACCAUUAUAUGCUACUUUAGCGAAAUAUUGACAAGUUAAGCGUUACUACAUAAACUAUUAUCUGAAUGGGGCACCAAACGCGGUGCGCCCUGGCCCAAUGUGUCACGCCAUAAGAUAUAAGCGUCAUUGUUUUUAAAUAUUCUUGUUUUAUGAGCUCAAGAUUGAUGAUGGGAACAAAAGACGGCAUAGUUUAAUAUACGGAAUCAACUGAAUGAAAUUGAAACUGAUUAUAUUUUUCCAGAGACAGAACAAGUUCCGGAUCAAAAUAUUUAACAAAUAAAUAUUUAACAAGACACCUAUAUAAGCCAGGCACCAGACACACGAUCAAACAGUUGUUCAGCCACAACCCUAAGGUGUCAAGGGUAGAGUACUCUAGCAUGACCACAUUUGGGCCAUACCUAAUUGACAGCGGUGAAGAUAGAUGAUGUUUCUGUGCCAAUACCAGUUCAGAGAAAGGCGUUGUGAGCCCAGUUUGGUCCCUUUUGCACAUUCGACCUUAUCAGCAGUAACUUUUCUUUUAUGCUUCAUACAAACUUUGGUUUUGAAAAGUCAAUAUUUUAUUAUUUCGUAAACCAUACCAAAUUUAGGGUAUUUAUCUUGUGUAAUUAACGACCACUAUUCAAAGAUAUGUACCUAAUGUAAACAAAGUUCUUUGUAUAUAGUGUUAUUAGUUUAAUAUGGUUGCCUGUGGGAAUAUUGUUUAUUCGACGUCUGUGGAUUGCGUAACUGAGACUAUUAGUAAGUCCAAAUGGAAAUUUAUAUAAUGUUUAGAACAUUAUGUUUUGAAUGUGCAUGUAUCAUAUGAAACUGUCCUGCAUUUAUGGUAUUUCUCGUUUAUUCAUUUCCUUGAGGCUUUUUCUUUUUUUUGAUCUUUGAUAAUUUUUCUUGUGUCGGUGUCUGUAGUCAGCUGGAUAUGCAGCGGAAUGCCGUUCGGCAGAUAUGUAAAUCAUUAUCAGAUUGAAAGUAAAGGGCUGUCUAGUCUAGACUGUGACUUUAGGAUGCCUGAUAUCUUGAAGCUAUCAUAAACUGCGUGGUUGAAGACUUUAUGAUCAUUCGUCUCGGUCACCUGUUAUCAGAACAUCCUAUGAAGGAAAUUAAUUGUGUGUUUUGCUUUUACAGAUGCUGGAUAUGUGAUUUUAUAUAUAUCUUGCGUUUUCGCUCUUAUCGUAGAACAUAUGUGUCAGGCGAUGCAUAGGCCGUUGUUAUAAAAAAAUUUUUAGUCUUACUAAUCGGCAACACCGCCACUGUACUAAAAGUCCAUAAUCGUUUCUUCGUAAUAUUUUUUCUUUUACAUUCUGUGAAAAUUUGUAUAUUGGCCAUGGUCGGUGUUGGUUGGGCUCAUUGGUUCUUCCAGAUAUAGCUUGCAGCCCAGAAUUUGAUGAUGGUGUAGAAAUUGCCGGUCGUGGAGUUGUCGUCAACUUGAAUACGCAUGAAAUGAAAUUGGCCAACAGCUUGUAAAAACACAACAAGAUUGAUUUACAUGUGGAUAGUCUGGUAUAGAUGGUAUCUCCAUACUGUCGAUACAUAUGAAAGCGGUCAAACGAAAUCGAAAAUAAAAAAAAAGAUGACACGUGCCCAUUUAGAAAUGAUUACAUUACAUCAACUCAAGCUGGAAUUGCGCAAGAAUUGCAAAGUGACGAAAAAAACAUUUCGAUUGAAGCAAAUGAGGAAAAAAUAUUACAAAAUGUAUAUAGAUUAAAUAACGCAAAUUUACCACAAUUUAUGGAUAACACAAUGGAGAAUUUUUCGCUGCAACAAAAUAAAAACGAGAAUAUUGGUCAGAGACCGAAGACUUAUCGAUCGAAAGUUAGGGGAUCCCCCAAAACAGCGCUCUUACUCCAUAGUGAC
Long non-coding RNA from Styela clava, 2633 nucleotides. RefSeq lists it as uncharacterized. The record is from RefSeq and is a predicted model, not a curated record. NCBI's taxonomy places the organism in Eukaryota, Metazoa, Chordata, Ascidiacea, Stolidobranchia, Styelidae.